Molecule: ribosomal RNA, 334 nt
Filed under: uncultured bacterium
Lineage: Bacteria
Description: bacterial SSU rRNA
Rfam family: Bacterial small subunit ribosomal RNA
Source: RNAcentral
CUGUGAGCAGGAAAGCAGGGGAUCGCAAGACCUUGCGCUUUGGGAGCGGCCGAUGUCGGAUUAGCUAGUUGGUGGGGUAAAGGCUUACCAAGGCGACGAUCCGUAGCGGGUCUGAGAGGAUGAUCCGCCACACUGGGACUGAGACACGGCCCAGACUCCUACGGGAGGCAGCAGUGGGGAAUUUUGGACAAUGGGCGGAAGCCUGAUCCAGCCAUGCCGCGUGAGUGAAGAAGGCCUUCGGGUUGUAAAGCUCUUUCGGUGGGGAAGAAAUUGCUUGGGUUAAUACCCUGAGUAGAUGACGGUACCUGCACAAGAAGCACCGGCUAACUACGUG